CAGGGAGUGCUUGCACUCUGCUGACGACCGGCGCACGGGUGCGUAACGCGUAUGCAAUCUACCUCUUACUGAGGGAUAGCCCAUGGAAACGUGGAUUAAUACCUCAUAGUAUUAUAGACUGGCCUCAGUUUAUGAUUAAAGGUUACGGUAAGAGAUGAGCAUGCGUCCUAUUAGCUAGAUGGUAAGGUAACGGCUUACCAUGGCUACGAUAGGUAGGGGUCCUGAGAGGGAGAUCCCCCACACUGGUACUGAGACACGGACCAGACUCCUACGGGAGGCAGCAGUGAGGAAUAUUGGACAAUGGGCGAGAGCCUGAUCCAGCCAUGCCGCGUGCAGGAAGACGGCCCUAUGGGUUGUAAACUGCUUUUACAGAGGAAGAACCCUCCUUACGUGUAAGGAGCUGACGGUACUCUAUGAAUAAGGAUCGGCUAACUCCGUGCCAGCAGCCGCGGUAAUACGGAGGAUCCAAGCGUUAUCCGGAAUCAUUGGGUUUAAAGGGUCCGUAGGCGGGUCUAUAAGUCAGUGGUGAAAGUCUGCAGCUUAACUGUAGAACUGCCAUUGAUACUGUAGACCUUGAAUUAGUAUGAAGUGGUUAGAAU
Molecule: ribosomal RNA, 599 nt
Filed under: Zunongwangia sp. IO-125
Lineage: Bacteria; Pseudomonadati; Bacteroidota; Flavobacteriia; Flavobacteriales; Flavobacteriaceae
Description: bacterial SSU rRNA
Rfam family: Bacterial small subunit ribosomal RNA
Source: RNAcentral